Non-coding RNA from Thamnophis sirtalis, 206 nucleotides. Lineage: Eukaryota; Metazoa; Chordata; Lepidosauria; Squamata; Natricidae. The record is from RefSeq and is a predicted model, not a curated record.
AAGGCGGGCGGAAGUCCGGCAGGCGGAAGUGGAAGUUGACGUUGCUGGUGGCAUCGCAGAUAGAAGGAUGCUUCCACUAUCCUUGCUGAAAACAGCACAGAACCACCCAAUGCUGGUGGAACUCAAAAAUGGUGAAACUUACAAUGGUCACUUGGUUAGCUGUGAUAACUGGAUGAACAUCAAUCUUCGAGAAGUUAUCUGUACAU